AGUUUGAUCCUGGCUCAGGAUGAACGCUAGCGGGAGGCCUAACACAUGCAAGCCGAGCGGUAGAGAUUCUUCGGAAUCUUGAGAGCGGCGUACGGGUGCGGAACACGUGUGCAACCUACCUUUAUCUGGAGGAUAGCCUUUCGAAAGGAAGAUUAAUACUCCAUAAUAUAUUGAUUGGCAUCAAUUGAUAAUUGAAAGCUCCGGCGGAUAGAGAUGGGCACGCGCAAGAUUAGUUAGUUGGUGAGGUAACGGCUCACCAAGACGAUGAUCUUUAGGGGGCCUGAGAGGGUGAUCCCCCACACUGGUACUGAGACACGGACCAGACUCCUACGGGAGGCAGCAGUGAGGAAUAUUGGUCAAUGGGUGCAAGCCUGAACCAGCCAUCCCGCGUGAAGGACGACUGCCCUAUGGGUUGUAAACUUCUUUUGUAUAGGGAUAAACCUACCCUCGUGAGGGUAGCUGAAGGUACUAUACGAAUAAGCACCGGCUAACUCCGUG
This 498-nucleotide ribosomal RNA is filed under the name uncultured bacterium. RNAcentral describes it as "bacterial SSU rRNA". It matches the Rfam family "Bacterial small subunit ribosomal RNA", at positions 10 to 507 of the family's 1533-position model. The record is from RNAcentral.